This 497-nucleotide ribosomal RNA is filed under the name uncultured bacterium. RNAcentral's name for it is "partial 16S ribosomal RNA". It matches the Rfam family "Bacterial small subunit ribosomal RNA", at positions 28 to 507 of the family's 1533-position model. The record is from RNAcentral.
GAUGAACGCUGGCGGCGUGCCUAAUACAUGCAAGUCGAGCGAACGGACGAGAAGCUUGCUUCUCUGAUGUUAGCGGCGGACGGGUGAGUAACACGUGGAUAACCUACCUAUAAGACUGGUAUAACUUCGGGAAACCGGAGCUAAUACCGGAUAAUAUUUUGAUCCGCAUGGUUCAAAAGUGAAAGACGGUCUUGCUGUCACUUAUAGCUGGAUCCGCGCUGCAUUAGCUAGUUGGUAAGGUAACGGCUUACCAAGGCAACGAUGCAUAGCCGACCUGAGAGGGUGAUAGGCCACACUGGAACUGAGACACGGUCCAGACUCCUACGGGAGGCAGCAGUAGGGAAUCGUCCGCAAUGGGCGAAAGCCUGACGGAGCAACGCCGCGUGAGUGAUGAAGGUCUUCGGAUCGUAAAACUCUGUUAUUAGGGAAGAACAUAUGUGUAAGUAACUGUGCACAUCUUGACGGUACCUAAUCAGAAAGCCACGGCUAACUACGUG